This 1756-nucleotide small RNA is filed under the name Cryptococcus neoformans H99. Its description in RNAcentral is "Cryptococcus neoformans var. grubii H99 hypothetical RNA". Lineage: Eukaryota; Fungi; Basidiomycota; Tremellomycetes; Tremellales; Cryptococcaceae. The record is from RNAcentral.
GAUUGCUUCAUUUUUUUUAAAAAAAAUUUCCCCCUUUUUUCCCUUCUGGAUCAUCCAAUACACAUCAUCAAAAAAUGGAGAGUAAUGUUCUUUUUUGAUGACGAUUUUCUUUCUUUUUUGGAAUGUCCCACGAUAGAAUAAGGUAGGGUAGGGUAGGGUAGGAUGAGAGGCUGGAUUAUUUGGGCCGCUGGAGGAGAACGACGGGAGGAUCAUCAUCGAUUCGUGGCAUUGACUUUUUGCCGCUGCCUCUACCGUUACCACCAGCGCCGCCACCAGCGCCAACACCGCCACCAGCGGGAGCGGGAGGGGAAGCAGCGUUGGCGGAAGGAAAGAGCCCAGAGGUUUGGGACUGUUGACCAGGUUGACCGGGAGGAAGGGGACGGACAAAAGAAUGAGGUCGUUGGAGGAGCACGAAUUCGUUGUCACGGUUUUUUAACCUUCUACCAUGGCCUUUACCACCCCCACCGCCACCGCCUCCCCCACCGCCACCCCUGCCUCUCCCGAACCCAUGCCCACCGUGCCCACCGUGUGCACCACGACGACCAUGUCCAUGUGCGCCUCGACUCCCAUCUGAAAGCUCAUCAAACAGAGCCAGAGGUGGAGGUGGUCUGUGAUGACCAGGAUGAGGGUGGGGGUAGUGAUGGUGGCCACCCCCGCCUCCGCCGCCGCCGCCGCCACGGGGCAUACCGUUCUCGAGAUGGUGCGCCAUCGAUGGGUGGGGGGGAGGAGGCGGGCGCAUGUCGGGGUUUGGAUGAGGUCUCGUAUGCAUACCCAUCCUCAGUCCCAUAUCCACGCCUGACUCGGGGGCAAGCGGUGGAGGAGGAGGAGGAGGGUGUGGUGGACGGUGGUGGAGCCCGUUAGUUAUAGUAGGGGGUGGACGAGGAGGAGGUCGGGCAAGCAGAGUGGGAGGACGAGGAUGAUCGCGGGAUUUGAUUUCCGGUCCAGGUAUGACUGGACUGGUAGGCGAAGGAAGAUACGAGUCGGGAGAUGCUUCCCUUGUAGGCGAAGGUCUUCGAAGCAGGAUCUUGACCUCUCGUUCGGGCUCUGGUUCCUUCUUGGCUGCUGCUUGUCUAUCCCUUCUCUUCCCGCCGUCCCCUCCCCUCUUUCUUCCUCUUCGCCUUUCGCGCUGUUUUUUCCCUCCCAAACCGGAUGCUUCGACCUCGACAUCAUCAUCCCUCAAAACUUGCAAUGUAAGAUCAAACCUUGCGGCUUCCUGCAGGAUGACAUGACCCUCCGCCCUGGCCAUAUAAUCCAACCCGUCUUUGGCAUCGCCGUCCCUCGCGGAAGGCGUCGGCUCGGCACGGCCCUGUUCGAGCUCGACGAAUACAGGCGGGUUUCCGACGUAUAAUAUCGGGCCUUUUUCUCGCUCGUACCCAUUGUCUUCAGCAUCCCAUUCCUUCUCCUCGGCAUCCAUGAUUUUCUUGAAAUAGGCGACACAGGAAAAAACAGCUUCUACCCAUUUUGGCAAAUCUUCUUCACCGUCCAUAGGCGGGAUGGCGAGUUCGUCUACGAUAGAGUCGAGAGAGGCGGUUUCCUUGGCGCGCUGGAGACGCAUGCCGCUGCCGCGUUUGUAGUUUGUACCCGACUGGAUGGCGAGUGAUGGAUCAGAUGAAAGGACGUCGUGGAAACGGAGGGCGUGUUCAAUGUAUCGGGCUGCUUGACGGGCUGCAACAGCAGACGCGUUGGAUCCCUUCUUCAAAAGAUCAAGCGUGCUGAUUGCUAUAUAUAUAUAAAAGAAAAAAACCCCAAGUUGUUA